UUGUUCCAGCCACUACCAACAGCAAGAGUUCUGAAUUCCAGUUUGAACGCCAUGGCACUGUGUUUGCCUUGUUUGAUAGACAGAAGUUUUUCCCCUACCUUCCUUCUUUCAGAGAAGUGGUCGAAAACUCAUUGAAAGAGCUCUGUGAAGCAGUCAUCUGAUGUGAUUUGCUCCCCUCCUUGAGACAAGACCACAGUGGCCAGUUUACCAAACUUUUCAAGUCGUCAAUCAAAUAAAUGACUACUCUGCAAUCCGACAGUCAGCAACAGAAGCACGCAGAAGUGUUCAUUAGGAAGUUAUUACCUGGGAGGGGAGCGGAGGCCUUGUGUGAUGAGUGCGCGUUGAGCGCAGCGCUCGAGCAGGUUGACGUCUGCAACACAGUGACACCAUGCGUAACAGUAGCAUCUCGGAGUAUCUUUCUAGAAGAGCCAUAGCACGAUCAUCCCUAAGCUGACGACCUGGAGAGUCUUCUGGAAGUUGAGGGACAGCAGAGAUCAGAUCCUGGGGACAAAGAGAGUGAAGCUCC
Pangasianodon hypophthalmus (striped catfish) is the source of this 526-nucleotide long non-coding RNA. RefSeq lists it as uncharacterized. NCBI's taxonomy places the organism in Eukaryota, Metazoa, Chordata, Actinopteri, Siluriformes, Pangasiidae. The record is from RefSeq and is a predicted model, not a curated record. The transcript is spliced from 3 exons.